CCUACGGGAGGCAGCAGUGGGGGAUAUUGCACAAUGGGGGGAACCCUGAUGCAGCGACGCCGCGUGGGUGAAGAAGCGCCUCGGCGCGUAAAGCCCUGUCAGCAGGGAAGAAAAUGACGGUACCUGAAGAAGAAGCCCCGGCUAACUACGUGCCAGCAGCCGCGGUAAUACGUAGGGGGCAAGCGUUAUCCGGAUUUACUGGGUGUAAAGGGGGCGCAGACGGCGAUGCAAGCCAGGAGUGAAAGCCCGGGGCCCAACCCCGGGACUGCUCUUGGAACUGCGUGGCUAGAGUGCAGGAGGGGCAGGCGGAAUGCCUGGUGUAGCGGUGAAAUGCGUAGAGAUCAGGAGGAACACCGGUGGCGAAGGCGGCCUGCUGGACUGCAACUGACGUUGAGGCCCGAAAGCGUGGGGAGCAAACAGGAUUAGAUACCCUAGUAGUC
Molecule: ribosomal RNA, 440 nt
Filed under: uncultured bacterium
Lineage: Bacteria
Description: partial 16S ribosomal RNA
Rfam family: Bacterial small subunit ribosomal RNA
Source: RNAcentral